AUUCUGAAUAUAACUAACUUCCUUCCUUCCUGCCUUCCUCCCUCCCUGCCUUCCCUUCCUUCCUGCCUUCCUUCUUCCUUCCUCCCUUUUUUCUUUUCUCCCUUCCUUCCUUCUUAAUAUGUUUUUGGCCUUUUCUUUAUAUAUGUGGCCUAGCAAUAUCCUGUGUUUGGAAAAGUAUAAACCUAAGGCAUCACCUUUACAGAAAAUAUCUUCCACGGAAACAUCUAAAGUGAGGAAGUAAAGUUGCAUUCACAGGCCUUGAACUUUUCCACAUCUCGAUUUUUACCCAUCAUCUCUGCAUAGUUCCCUAAGGCAGCCUUCAAAUGGUGAUGUUUCUUAUAAUCCAGAGUUCAGAAGUGGCUUCUCUUCAAUCUUUCUGUGGAAUUCUAAACCACGUGAUAAAGGAGCUGGUGGCUGGAGUGCAGUGAUGUGAUCUCGGCUCACUGCAACCCCUGCCUCCUGGAUUCAAGCAAUUCUCCUGCCUCACCCUCCCAAGUAGCUGGGAUUACAGUACCUGUCUCCUCCCAUAGUUAGGUGCCAAGCACUGUGGAUUCUGCCUCUCAGUGUCCAGACACCCAUUUUCCUUCCCACUGUUCCUUCCCCAUGGAGAAGCCUGUGGCUGGCUGACAGCAGAGAGAGAUGCUCAACUUGGAGAAGGUGUUACCUGGGCCAGGUGGGGAAGGUUUGUUUGCAGAGCAAAGAAGUGAAGGAAGUAUUAACCCUUUGCAUGGCCUCCUGAGAAUCCGACAAGACGUAAAUAGCCAAGAAUAUCUGUGAAACUUCAUCACUGAGUUACAAUAUUUAUCACUGCAAGUGUGUUGUUCAUUGACACUAUAAAGCCAUGUGGAAUUAAGCAGCCUUGAAACACAAAAUGGA
RNAcentral lists this long non-coding RNA (876 nucleotides) under Homo sapiens (human). RNAcentral describes it as "MYO3B antisense RNA 1". The record is from RNAcentral. Lineage: Eukaryota; Metazoa; Chordata; Mammalia; Primates; Hominidae.